Molecule: long non-coding RNA, 1228 nt
Filed under: Lactuca sativa (garden lettuce)
Lineage: Eukaryota; Viridiplantae; Streptophyta; Magnoliopsida; Asterales; Asteraceae
Description: long non-coding RNA (LSAT_LNC007198)
Source: RNAcentral
AAAUAUAAGAAUAAAAAAGUUAUAUAAUUUCCUCCAAUUUCAAAAUUUGAUUUCUCUACCGCUAGUCACCAUUUAAUCAACACCACCUGGACAUAGAUCUACUCCUCGAUAGCUCUCUGAUGCUCGGUGCGGUUUAGGAAGAGAGUCUCCUUCAAGGCCUUAAUCAGUCACUGUCAUUUCAUUCUAACUGGAAAUCGGUGCUGCUUAAAAUGGGAAGAAGUCAGAAGUGAUAGAGUGGUGGUCUCCGGUAAGACGCAUGUGGAGAAGGUCAUCAAUGUUACUUGGUGGUUGCCAUGGUAACGGAUGCUGGCAUUGAGGAAAGAUCCCUUAUCAUUAUUAUUAUUAUUAUUAUUUUUUAUCUUUUUAUACAUUAAAUGUGCGACAAAUAGCAUCACUAUGUUUUCGUAAUUAAAUGUUAAACUACCAUUAUUUGGUAAAUAAAAUUUAUAAUUACUAUGCUUGUGUUAAAAACUCUGUGAACACGUCCAAGUUAUGAAAUUAGCCGAAGAGAAUUAAUGAGGUUUUGAUUUUAAGUUUGUGAAGCUAAGGUUAUCAGGUUUUGCAUUGCAGUAGGUGAAAAUCAUGUAUAGUUUAGGGUUUUGAUACGGAUCUAUUAUGGACGGCAUUCUUGACAUUAGGGAGGAUUCCGGUGGAGAGAACAAAGUGGUUUGGGGAAAACGUAAUGUGAAUAGGUGAUGGUGGAAUAUUCGUUCAGGACAUAUCAGUCAAUUAUACUGUAGGGGAAGAAGCAAUAUCAAUCUUCCACUAUAGAAAGUAAAAUUAUUGAAUUGAUUAAACACGGACAACACGCAACUCUUUCUCCCAGAUUCCCAGUAAUUCUGUUGAGUUUCACUCCCUUGUCUUUUCAUUGCUUUGUCCAUUCUUCCACAUGAUGAGGCUAUUCCUUGAAAUUGUCAUCACCCCUCCUACCUGUUGCAUAGAAAUUUCCGCUCUGUGUUGAUGACAACUAGUUCUUAAUUUAUAUCUGAUCCUAUCUCCUAUUACAUUCUUCACAAGAAUUGUACUACAGACCAUCAUAACUAUCCAAGAUUAUGUGCUCUGAAACUUCUGAAAGUGAUAGGUUGUUAUUAACUUCAGUACAACCAUGUCGUCACUUUUCUCUUGCAGAGAUUAAAUCCGCCUCCAAGGACUUUGAUGAUAAACUGAUCAUCGGACAAGGAGGGUUUGGUAAAGUUUACAAAGGUUUUAUGUAUAUUGAAGAAACAAG